GUGCUCACUUCGGCAGCCCAUAUACUAAAAUUGGAGCUUUGCAGAGAUUCAUGGGCCCCGUGCCAGGGUGACACGCACAUUCCUGAAGCACUGCGUAGUUUU
RNAcentral lists this small nuclear RNA (102 nucleotides) under Nannospalax galili (Upper Galilee mountains blind mole rat). The record is from RNAcentral. Lineage: Eukaryota; Metazoa; Chordata; Mammalia; Rodentia; Spalacidae.